RNAcentral lists this ribosomal RNA (445 nucleotides) under uncultured bacterium. RNAcentral describes it as "bacterial SSU rRNA". It matches the Rfam family "Bacterial small subunit ribosomal RNA", at positions 330 to 792 of the family's 1533-position model. The record is from RNAcentral.
CCCAGACUCCUACGGGAGGCAGCAGUGGGGAAUAUUGCACAAUGGGGGGAACCCUGAUGCAGCAACGCCGCGUGGGUGAAGAAGUACUUCGGUAUGUAAAGCCCUGUCAGCAGGGAAGAAAAUGACGGUACCUGACUAAGAAGCCCCGGCUAACUACGUGCCAGCAGCCGCGGUAAUACGUAGGGGGCAAGCGUUGUCCGGAUUUACUGGGUGUAAAGGGCGUGCAGCCGGGAGGACAAGUCAGAUGUGAAAUCCCGCGGCUCAACCGCGGAACUGCAUUUGAAACUGUUUUUCUUGAGUACCGGAGAGGUCAUCGGAAUUCCUUGUGUAGCGGUGAAAUGCGUAGAUAUAAGGAAGAACACCAGUGGCGAAGGCGGAUGACUGGACGGCAACUGACGGUGAGGCGCGAAAGCGUAGGGAGCAAACAGGAUUAGAUACCCGAGUA